RNAcentral lists this ribosomal RNA (495 nucleotides) under uncultured bacterium. RNAcentral's name for it is "partial 16S ribosomal RNA". It matches the Rfam family "Bacterial small subunit ribosomal RNA", at positions 28 to 507 of the family's 1533-position model. The record is from RNAcentral.
GACGAACGCUGGCGGCGUGCCUAAUACAUGCAAGUAGAACGCUGAAGGAGGAGCUUGCUUCUCUGUAUUAGUUGCGAACGGGUGAGUAACGCGUAGGUAACCUGCCUGGUAGCGGGGGAUAACUAUUGGAAACGAUAGCUAAUACCGCAUAAUAGUAGAUGUUGCAUGACAUUUGCUUCAAAGGUGCAAUUGCCUCACUACCAUAUGGACCUGCGUUGUAUUAGCUAGUUGGUGAGGUAACGGCUCACCAAGGCAACGAUACAUAGCCGACCUGAGAGGGGGAUCGGCCACACUGGGACUGAGACAAGGCCCAGACUCCUACGGGAGGCAGCAGUAGGGAAUCGUCGGCAAUGGACGGAAGUCUGACCGAGCAACGCCGCGUGAGUGAAGAAGGUUGUCGGAUCGGAAAGCUCUGUUGUAAGAGAAGAAAGAGUGUGAGAGUGGAAAGUUCACACUGUGACGGUAUCUUACCAGAAAGGGACGGCUAACUACGUG